This 301-nucleotide long non-coding RNA is filed under the name Equus caballus (horse). RNAcentral's name for it is "lncRNA (ENSECAG00000060091.1)". The record is from RNAcentral. Lineage: Eukaryota; Metazoa; Chordata; Mammalia; Perissodactyla; Equidae.
UUAGGCUAUUUGAAGCCAAUGAAAAGGAUGGCUGUAUUUUUCUUUUCAAACACCGAGAGACCCUGAAUAUGUUCUCUGGCUUCCUCAGGAGAGACAGGAGAGAGAAAUUGCUAUCAAGGACAUCUUACUACAGAAGACAUUAAACACCUGAGGAAGAUUGGCCCUGAGCAAACAUCUGUAGCCUAUCUUUCUCUCUUCUUUUUUUCCUCCCCAAAGCUCCAGUACCUAGUUGUAUAGCCUAGUUGUAGAUCAUUCUAGCUCUUUUAUGUGGGAUGUGGCCACAGCAUGGCCUGAUCAGCAG